UUAUGGCUCAGAACGAACGCUGGUGGCGUGUCUUAUACAUGCAAGUCGAGCGAGGCAGCAAUGCCGAGCGGCGAACGGGUGAGUAACGCGUAAGCAAUCUGCCCCAUAUCAGGAAAUACCCGUGCCAACGCGCGGUUAAUGUCCAGGAGAGUGGCCCUCUGCAUGGAGGGUUGACUAGAGAUUUAUCGGUAUGGGAUGAGCUUGCGUCCGAUUAGCUAGUUGGCGGGGCAACGGCCCACCAAGGCGACGAUCGGUAGCCGGCCUGAGAGGGUGAUCGGCCACAUUGGGACUGAGAUACGGCCCAGACUCCUACGGGAGGCAGCAGUAGGGAAUAUUGCACAAUGGGGGAAACCCUGAUGCAGCAACGCCACGUGUGGGAAGAAGCAUUUCGGUGUGUAAACCACUGUCAUGAGGGAAUAAGGCCCGCUUUCGGGCGGGAUUGAAUGUACCUUGAGAGGAAGCACCGGCAAACUUCGUGCCAGCCGCGGC
RNAcentral lists this ribosomal RNA (489 nucleotides) under uncultured bacterium. RNAcentral's name for it is "bacterial SSU rRNA". It matches the Rfam family "Bacterial small subunit ribosomal RNA", at positions 17 to 518 of the family's 1533-position model. The record is from RNAcentral.